RNAcentral lists this non-coding RNA (21 nucleotides) under Caenorhabditis elegans. Lineage: Eukaryota; Metazoa; Nematoda; Chromadorea; Rhabditida; Rhabditidae. The record is from RNAcentral.
UAUUUUGAAGCUAUGUUUCAG